This 602-nucleotide ribosomal RNA is filed under the name uncultured Enterococcus sp. RNAcentral describes it as "bacterial LSU rRNA". It matches the Rfam family "Bacterial large subunit ribosomal RNA", at positions 243 to 849 of the family's 2925-position model. The record is from RNAcentral. Lineage: Bacteria; Bacillati; Bacillota; Bacilli; Lactobacillales; Enterococcaceae.
GUAGCGGCGAGCGAAACGGGAAGAGCCCAAACCAACAAGCUUGCUUGUUGGGGUUGUAGGACUCCGAUAUGGUAGUCUGUUAGUAUAGUUGAAGGAUUUGGAAAAUUCCGCUAAAGAGGGUGAAAGCCCCGUAGACGAAAUGCUGACAACACCUAGGAGGAUCCUGAGUACGGCGGAACACGAGAAAUUCCGUCGGAAUCCGCGGGGACCAUCCCGCAAGGCUAAAUACUCCCUAGUGACCGAUAGUGAACCAGUACCGUGAGGGAAAGGUGAAAAGCACCCCGGAAGGGGAGUGAAAUAGAUCCUGAAACCGUGUGCCUACAACAAGUCAAAGCUCGUUAAUGAGUGAUGGCGUGCCUUUUGUAGAAUGAACCGGCGAGUUACGAUUGCAUGCGAGGUUAAGUCGAAGAGACGGAGCCGCAGCGAAAGCGAGUCUGAAUAGGGCGAAUGAGUAUGUAGUCGUAGACCCGAAACCAUGUGAUCUACCCAUGUCCAGGUUGAAGGUGCGGUAAAACGCACUGGAGGACCGAACCCACGUACGUUGAAAAGUGCGGGGAUGAGGUGUGGGUAGCGGAGAAAUUCCAAACGAGCUUGGAGAUAGC